Molecule: transfer RNA, 72 nt
Filed under: Oceanobacillus sp. 143
Lineage: Bacteria; Bacillati; Bacillota; Bacilli; Caryophanales; Bacillaceae
Description: tRNA-Lys
Rfam family: tRNA
About the family: Transfer RNA (tRNA) molecules are approximately 80 nucleotides in length.
Source: RNAcentral
GGGAUAUUAGCUCAGUUGGUAGAGCAGCUGACUCUUAAUCAGCGGGUCGUAGGUUCGAUCCCUACAUAUCCA